RNAcentral lists this ribosomal RNA (610 nucleotides) under Marinobacter sp. Its description in RNAcentral is "bacterial SSU rRNA". It matches the Rfam family "Bacterial small subunit ribosomal RNA", at positions 38 to 642 of the family's 1533-position model. Lineage: Bacteria; Pseudomonadati; Pseudomonadota; Gammaproteobacteria; Pseudomonadales; Marinobacteraceae. The record is from RNAcentral.
AGCGGCAGCUUACACAUGCAGUCGAGCGGUAACAGGGGGUGCUUGCACCCCGCUGACGAGCGGCGGACGGGUGAGUAAUGCAUAGGAAUCUGCCCAGUAGUGGGGGAUAGCCCGGGGAAACCCGGAUUAAUACCGCAUACGCCCUUUGGGAGAAAGCAGGGGAUCUUCGGACCUUGCGCUAUUGGAUGAGCCUAUGUCGGAUUAGCUAGUUGGUGGGGUAAAGGCCUACCAAGGCGACGAUCCGUAGCUGGUCUGAGAGGAUGAUCAGCCACAUCGGGACUGAGACACGGCCCGAACUCCUACGGGAGGCAGCAGUGGGGAAUAUUGGACAAUGGGGGCAACCCUGAUCCAGCCAUGCCGCGUGUGUGAAGAAGGCUUUCGGGUUGUAAAGCACUUUCAGUGAGGAGGAAAACCUUCUGGUUAAUACCCAUGAGGCUUGACGUUACUCACAGAAGAAGCACCGGCUAACUCCGUGCCAGCAGCCGCGGUAAUACGGAGGGUGCAAGCGUUAAUCGGAAUUACUGGGCGUAAAGCGCGCGUAGGUGGUUUGAUAAGCGAGAUGUGAAAGCCCCGGGCUUAACCUGGGAACGGCAUUUCGAACUGUCAGGCU